CACGUAGGGUGCGAGCGUUGUCCGGAAUUAUUGGGCGUAAAGAGCUCGUAGGCGGUGUGUCGCGUCGUCCGUGAAAACCUGCAGCUUAACUGUGGGCUUGCGGUCGAUACGGGCAUCACUGGAGUUCGGCAGGGGAGACUGGAAUUCCUGGUGUAGCGGUGAAAUGCGCAGAUAUCAGGAGGAACACCGGUGGCGAAGGCGGGUCUCUGGGCCGAUACUGACGUUGAGGAGCGAAAGCGUGGGGAGCGAACAGG
This 254-nucleotide ribosomal RNA is filed under the name uncultured bacterium. Its description in RNAcentral is "partial 16S ribosomal RNA". It matches the Rfam family "Bacterial small subunit ribosomal RNA", at positions 524 to 776 of the family's 1533-position model. The record is from RNAcentral.